AACGUAGGAGACAAACGUUAUCCGGAGUUACUGGGCGUAAAGGGCGUGUAGGCGGUUUGUUAAGUCUGGCGUGAAAGCUCUCGGCUAAACCGGGAGAGGUCGUUGGAUACUGGCAAACCAGAGGACGGUAGAGGCGUGUGGAAUUCCGGGUGUAGUGGUGAAAUGCGUAGAGAUCCGGAGGAACACCAGUGGCGAAGGCGACACGCUGGGCCGUACCUGACGCUAAAGCGCGACAGCAUGGGGAGCAAACGGG
This 253-nucleotide ribosomal RNA is filed under the name uncultured bacterium. RNAcentral's name for it is "partial 16S ribosomal RNA". It matches the Rfam family "Bacterial small subunit ribosomal RNA", at positions 524 to 776 of the family's 1533-position model. The record is from RNAcentral.